This is a long non-coding RNA of Lagopus leucura (white-tailed ptarmigan), 432 nucleotides long. RefSeq lists it as uncharacterized. The record is from RefSeq and is a predicted model, not a curated record. NCBI's taxonomy places the organism in Eukaryota, Metazoa, Chordata, Aves, Galliformes, Phasianidae. The transcript has 2 exons.
GCUGGGCUGUUACCCGGAGCAGCACUUCACAGAGGCCGCCCCGCGCCGCCUGAUGCUGCAGUUCCGCCGCCGCCUGCAGCGCAUCUCCCGGCGCAUCCGGCAGCGCAACGCCGCGCUGCCGCUGCCCUACCCCUACCUCGACCCCAGCAACGUCGAGAACAGCAUCUCCACGUGAAGCGACCCCAAAUCCCGAUCGGGGCGACCCCAAAAACCCCCCAAACCUCUGCACCCUGUUCUGCUGCCCCUUAGGAUGUCCUCAAAGCCCCCAGGUGACCCCAAAAUCCUCAUCUCCUCCUUCUUGGGGUGACCCCAAACCUCUCAACCCCAUAUUUCUUAGGGUGACCCCAAUCCCACCCCAUAUUUCUUGGGGUGACCCCAAACCCCAUUGCUGUCCCCACUGAGCUGUGCAAUAAAGGAGGUGCCAACCCCAAA